This 520-nucleotide ribosomal RNA is filed under the name uncultured bacterium. RNAcentral describes it as "partial 16S ribosomal RNA". It matches the Rfam family "Bacterial small subunit ribosomal RNA", at positions 28 to 507 of the family's 1533-position model. The record is from RNAcentral.
GACGAACGCUGGCGGCGUGCCUAAUACAUGCAAGUCGAACGCACUCUCGUUUAGAUUGACGGAGUUUGCUCCUGAUUGAUCAACAUUUGAGUGAGUGGCGGACGGGUGAGUAACACGUGGGUAACCUGCCCUAAAGUGGGGGAUAACAUUUGGAAACAGAUGCUAAUACCGCAUAAAACCUAACACCGCAUGGUGUAGGGUUGAAAGAUGGUUUCGGCUAUCACUUUAGGAUGGACCCGCGGUGCAUUAGUUAGUUGGUGAGGUAAAGGCUCACCAAGACCGUGAUGCAUAGCCGACCUGAGAGGGUAAUCGGCCACACUGGGACUGAGACACGGCCCAGACUCCUACGGGAGGCAGCAGUAGGGAAUCUUCCACAAUGGACGAAAGUCUGAUGGAGCAACGCCGCGUGAGUGAAGAAGGUUUUCGGAUCGUAAAACUCUGUUGUUGGAGAAGAAUGUAUCUGAUAGUAACUGAUCAGGUAGUGACGGUAUCCAACCAGAAAGCCACGGCUAACUACGUG